Molecule: ribosomal RNA, 498 nt
Filed under: uncultured Glomeromycotina
Lineage: Eukaryota; Fungi; Glomeromycota
Description: partial small subunit ribosomal RNA
Rfam family: Eukaryotic small subunit ribosomal RNA
Source: RNAcentral
CCAAUAGCGUAUAUUAAAGUUGUUGCAGUUAAAAAGCUCGUAGUUGAAUUUUGGAUUCUGCCAAUUGGUCCAUCUUUUGAUGAGUACUGAUUGUGUGGGGUCUAUCCGCCUGGUGAUACGUAAUGUGCUUUAUUGCAUGUUACGGGUAGCCAGGACCUUUACCUUGAAAAAAUUAGAGUGUUUAAAGCAGGCUUAUGCCGGAAUACAUUAGCAUGGAAUAAUAGAAUAGGACGAUGUUGUUUUAUUUUGUUGGUUUCUAGGACAACCGUAAUGAUUAAUAGGGAUAGUUGGGGGCAUUAGUAUUCAAUUGUCAGAGGUGAAAUUCUUGGAUUUAUUGAAGACUAACUACUGCGAAAGCAUUUGCCAAGGAUGUUUUCAUUAAUCAAGAACGAAAGUUAGGGGAUCGAAGACGAUCAGAUACCGUCGUAGUCUUAACCAUAAACUAUGCCGACUAGGGAUCGGGCGAUGUUGUUUCCAUGACUCGCUCGGCACCUUAUG